Truncatella angustata is the source of this 97-nucleotide non-coding RNA. The record is from the annotation of a RefSeq genome assembly. NCBI's taxonomy places the organism in Eukaryota, Fungi, Ascomycota, Sordariomycetes, Amphisphaeriales, Sporocadaceae.
GCCCGUAUGGUGCAGUGGUUAGUUAGGUGCGCCUGGCAGUGCUCUUGUUGCUACGGUGGGCGACGAGUGCAAGCGGGUUCGAAUCCCGCUACGGUCC